Molecule: long non-coding RNA, 242 nt
Filed under: Elaeis guineensis (African oil palm)
Lineage: Eukaryota; Viridiplantae; Streptophyta; Magnoliopsida; Arecales; Arecaceae
Description: long non-coding RNA (EGUI_LNC005112)
Source: RNAcentral
UCUCCCCCAUCAGUCAACAACACAUACUCAUGAGUAGGAUAUCUAGUAGAAGCAUGUCUCUCCCUACUAGAUCUCCUCAAAGGUGCUGGCUCUAUAAGUUUCUCUUCAUCAAGCUGCUCAGGGACUGCUUCAUCAGCUGCAGGAGACUCAUCAGGUGUAGGCGUAACUUCAACAAAAAUCUCAGCAUCUAUUGGCUCGUAGUGAUCUCCCUGUAUCUCCCUUCUGUUAACUGCAGGUGAAGA